AUAUCUGGCCAUACCAUAUUGAGAAUGCCUGAUCUCACCAGAACUCAGAAUAAGCAGUGUUGGGCCUGAUUAGUACUUGAAUGGGUGCCACAGUGAGACAGCAACGGCUCUAUUACAUAUU
RNAcentral lists this ribosomal RNA (121 nucleotides) under Periophthalmus magnuspinnatus. The record is from RNAcentral. Lineage: Eukaryota; Metazoa; Chordata; Actinopteri; Gobiiformes; Gobiidae.